AUGGCCGGCGCUGGAUCGAGCUCGUCAGCACCAACGGAAGGAGGCUUUCACUUGAUGAGUUGCCUAAAAGAUGUUCCGACACUCAGAGGUGACAAUCACACUGAGUGGAGGAAGAAAGUUGACCUGGCAUUUGUUCUUGCUGACCUGGACUGGGUUGUGGAUGCACCACAGCCGGUCAGACCUACAGAGCCAGUAAAAGAGGCCACUGAUGAUGAUGUUGCGUGGGCUAAAAAGAGGGGAGAUUAUGCUCCUUUGGAGAUGUCAUACAUCAAAGAAAACCAAAAGUGGGUCAAUGCAAACAAAAAGUGCAUGGCAUUUAUAAAGAAUACAACUGAGAGCACCAUUGUGGGCUCCAUUGCAGAGUGCACUUCCGCAUGGGAGUUGCUUACAAAGAUAAAGAGCCGGUUUACUGGCUCUUCAAAGAUAUAUGCCACCCAAGUGUUAGAGCAACUGGUGACAGAACGCUACACAGGUGGUAGUCAGGGAAUAAGAUAG
RNAcentral lists this ribosomal RNA (495 nucleotides) under Triticum aestivum (bread wheat). Its description in RNAcentral is "partial small subunit ribosomal RNA". The record is from RNAcentral. Lineage: Eukaryota; Viridiplantae; Streptophyta; Magnoliopsida; Poales; Poaceae.